ACCACGCCACUGACGCUCAUGCACGAAAGCGUGGGUAUCGAACAGGAUUAGAUACCCUGGUAGUCCACGCGGUAAACGAUGAUAACUAGUUAUUCGCCCCGACUGGGGGGUGAGUGACCGAGCGAAAGCGUUAAGUUAUCCACCUGGGGAGUACGCCGGCAACGGUGAAACUCAAAGGAAUUGACGGGGGCCCGCACAAGCGGAGGAACAUGUGGUUUAAUUCGAUGAUACGCGAGGAACCUUACCCGGGCUCAAACGCAUCGCGCUACACCCUGAAAGGGGUGGUUCUUCGGACGCGAUGCGAGGUGCUGCAUGGUUGUCGUCAGCUCGUGCCGUGAGGUGUCGGCUUAAGUGCCAUAACGAGUGCAACCCCCAUCUUCAGUUGCCCCCGGGUGAUGCCGGGCACUCUGGAGAGACUGCCGGCGCAAGCUGUGAGGAAGGCGGGGAUGACGUCAAAUCAGCACGGCCCUUACGUCCGGGGCGACACACGUGUUACAAUGGCGGGGCUACAGAGGGGAGCCAGGCGGCGACGCCGAGCUGAUCCCGAAACCCGUCUCAGUUCGGAUCGGAGUCUGCAACCCGACUCCGUGAAGCUGGAUU
This 600-nucleotide ribosomal RNA is filed under the name uncultured bacterium. RNAcentral describes it as "bacterial SSU rRNA". It matches the Rfam family "Bacterial small subunit ribosomal RNA", at positions 731 to 1332 of the family's 1533-position model. The record is from RNAcentral.